RNAcentral lists this ribosomal RNA (187 nucleotides) under uncultured bacterium. RNAcentral describes it as "partial 16S ribosomal RNA". It matches the Rfam family "Bacterial small subunit ribosomal RNA", at positions 340 to 524 of the family's 1533-position model. The record is from RNAcentral.
UACGGGAGGCAGCAGUGAGGAAUAUUGGUCAAUGGACGAGAGUCUGAACCAGCCAUCCCGCGUGCAGGAUGACGGCCCUACGGGUUGUAAACUGCUUUUAUGUACCAAGAAUGUGUUCUACGUGUAGGAUUUUGACGGUAGUACAUGAAUAAGCAUCGGCUAACUCCGUGCCAGCAGCCGCGGUAAU